Molecule: non-coding RNA, 228 nt
Filed under: Brochothrix campestris
Lineage: Bacteria; Bacillati; Bacillota; Bacilli; Caryophanales; Listeriaceae
Description: T-box sequence
Rfam family: T-box leader
About the family: Uncharged tRNA acts as the effector for transcription antitermination of genes in the T-box leader family. T-boxes are found upstream of many aminoacyl-tRNA synthetase genes and some amino acid biosynthetic genes usually in Gram-positive bacteria. The anticodon of a specific tRNA base pairs to a specifier sequence within the T-box motif, and the NCCA acceptor tail of the tRNA base pairs to a conserved bulge in the T-box antiterminator hairpin.
Source: RNAcentral
UUUUAUGCGAUGAUAAAGAGGAGUAAACAUAAACAUUACUUUAAAGAGAGUCUGUGGCGCUGAAAACAGGCAAAUCAUUAUGUUGAAUGGACUUUUGAGCACCUUAGAUGAAAUUAGUAGUUUAAGGCGUCUAAUCAGCGAUAUUUGAUGCCUUCACUGGCACGAGUGGUUAUCUUUUUGAUGACACUUAGGGUGGUACCGCGGAUACAACACAUUUUCGUCCCUUUU